GCCCUCUGAUGUAGGACCGCUUGAGUCCUAAUGGCAGAAGAGAAGCAGAGGGCUGCUUCCUUGUGCCCCUCUGAGAGGGGGGUGCGGGAGCCUCAGGAAGAUGCCACGGCCUUGUUUCCAGGUGAGCCUCAGCGAUGACAAGUGUAGGUUACUUUUUUUCAUCUGCACUCACCUUCCUUUGGGUUACUCUUAAAAAUAACUGCUUCGAGCCGACUGGCUGGUGGGGAAGCUUCCUUUUGGCUUUUCUGCUCUAUGGUAGACUCAGUGCUAGUCUGUGAGGGAGUCUCUUUCCGUAAAGAAUGCGUGGCAGUAAAAGAGAAACAGUCACGAGGCCUUGGCUUGUAGCAUGAACUUUCUUGUUUGUGUUAACAUUGUCAGGGAUCUCUGUGAUGCUUGCCAACCCAAGUCUGGGAGGCCAAGCUCCUCCUUGCCCCACGAGCAGCCUCAAGGACCAGUGUGUCCUUGAAGCUCACUGCUUAGCUGGAUUCUGAGCACAAUGGGAAUUUGUAAAUUGUGGCUGAAUUUGUGAGCUGUAGUUUGCUGCUAGAGCUGGCUUGAUCUCCAGCUAUUCCCAGUUUUCAAAUAUUGCUCUUUCUGGGGCUUAAAAUACAGAUUUGUCUUAGGUAUCAUUUCCAGGCCCCGAACUGUGGCUUGGGUCUUCAUUUGUCUCUGUAUUAGUAUCCUAGGUUUGCUGCCAGUAAGUCUCUACAAAAGAAACAGCUCCAGACAGCUCCUGGUUCUGGAGACCAGAAGUCCAAAAUCAAGCAAGGUACGGGAAGGGCCGGUGCCUUCUAGGAUCUUUGAAGGAGAGUCCAUGUCAGCUCUCCUUCCUAGCUUCUGGAGGCUGCCAACAGUCUUUUGGUCCCUUUGUGCAUGCCUCGAUUCAAUAUACUCCCCACUGCACACAGUUCUCUCCUCUCUCUGUAUUUGUCUUUGUGCACCUCUCUCAUGGACACGUGCGAAUGGAUCUAGAGUCCAACCUGAUCCAGAUGUCUUCUCCAUCUAGCUAGUUAUAACUGUAAUGACCCAGUUUCCAAAUAAAACCCUGGGGAACAUGACUCUUUUGAGGGUUUGCCAUUGAGACCUUUGUAGCCUUUCUACCGUCAGACUUUCCCAUCUAGUCACUUGCCCCACAGAUUCAGCUGUUUUUCCCAGAUCUUACUUAGCAGGUACACUUGGCUCUUGCUCCCAAAGCCUUCCAUGGCUCCCACUGCUGACCGAACAAAGUCCUAUCUCUUUAGCUCAGUUUUAGGAGACCCACCAUAGUCGGGUCCCAAUGAUGUUUUUGACCCUGUUGUCUUUAUGCCUCUACAUAUACCCUCCAGGUAUUGUGGAAUUUGUCGACUGGACCAUGUACUCCCUACCCACACUCUGUCUGCUGCUUAGGUGCUUUCCUUGAAUGCCUGUGUGCUGUCUUUCUCAGGACAACAUUUGUAAACUGCUCUGAAUGUAGACUGUUGACAUAACCUGCCCCAUCCCUCAUUUGCUGUGGUGCUCCAAACAGGGUCUAAAUUUUACUCGAAGCCUCUUUAUUAUACUUUCUUAGGUCCUUGGAUUUGGCCACAGUGUCCUGAAUUAUAUGGGACUGGAAGCCAAGAGAUACUGGGUAUAGGAGGAAAAGUAUCUGUGUGGGAGAACCACUGCCCAUCCCCAUAUGAUCCUUAGCAACACUGGUAGCCAGAGUUAGGACCAAGGAGGUAAAAGAAGAGACGUAAUAAACUGAAGGACAUCAACACCUUUCAAUAUCAGCUCCGAUAGAUGCUCUGAAAACUUGAAAAUACCGGAGGUUUUUGAUAGGAAUUCCAACCACGCCCCAUGGUCGCACAUGCCCAGCGGGACACUUAGAUGACUCCACCUAGUGACCCAGGCCCCAUGGUUACUCGGUCACUUAGUAGCCCCGUGAUCUCUGCGCGUGGGCCUGUGUGCGCAGAUGGCCUUUAUAAGGCAGCGCCAUGUUCCCCCGGUCUCUUUCUCGCACGUGUCUUUCCACAGGCCCGAUCACAUCUAUCCCUUUCUCUUUGUCUUGAUAAAUCUCUUGUUAGUGGAUUCUGUCGUGUGUCGUGACAUUUCCUUUAGGGCAAGAGUGCCGUUAAAAAAAACCAACAGUUUUUCCUUGCAGUGUUGGGAUCAAGUCCAGGGCCCUGGUACAUGCUGAGCGAGUGCGGCACCGAUAAGCUGCAGCCCCUGCCCAACAAGAUGUUUCUGCUCUUAGGAUUGCUCUUAGUGUCUUUUGCUAGCUCUCAGUGAAUGCAAUGGUUUUGAAAUCUUUGGCGCUACUGGAGCCCUUCCUUGCCAGGUCUUUGCAAUGGUUUUGUGAAUUGGAUGUAGAAACCCGGGCUAAGGCAAACACCCAGGUAAAACUGCUUGCCUCCCCCAAAUAGUUUAUGAAUAGCUUACAUGAUGGUUUUGUCUCAUCAGCUUGAAAGAACUUUGCAUGCCUGUCUGCUUUCACCUUGCUAGGUUAGGGCAGAAACAGGCGACCCCCGAACUCCAUUAUUGUUUUGGACAUUGUAUCUAAAACUGGCAACAGUUGCCUGCUGGUCUCUUGCCCUUUGGGCAUUUCAACAGUCAGUGCUCUACAUAAGAAGAGGUAUGUUAGGUGAAUUUUCCUUUGAGUAAGUCUUCCCUGCCAUAUAUUUGUCUCCAGGUCCUGUGGCAAUCUCGUUCAACUUAAACAAUAAAAACAAAGGGAACAGCUUGAGUCCAAGUUUGUCCUAGCCAUCUGCAUAAAGAAUAUACAAGCCUUUGAAAUGUUUUGAGACUCCAGAAGGAGAGGAAGGCACACACCCUUGGUGAUUCCAUCCUUAAGCACUGCUCUCCGAUCCCCCAGCUUCCUAUUUCCAGGACCUUCCUUCUUUAACAAAAGUACAAAGAACACGCAACACAAAGUCAAAGAUGUAAAAAGUAGAAGAAGUAAAGUCUUUCCAUGACUCCAUGUUCUUGCUGUGACUCAGAAUUGCUCAUUAGGGCAAAACCCCUCACACCUCGUGAGUUAACAGCCAGCCUGUUGUAGCCUGUUGUCAUUGCUCUGAAGGUCCAAGAUUGAAGUGGGUGUCACUAACACAUGCAGGCUGGAUCACCCCAAUUCUAGUCCCACUUCUGAAACAAGGAUUCUGGUAUUUCUGUGUUUCCUUUUCUAACUAGACAGUGAAUCCCCGAUGGAAAGGAUGAGGCUUUCUAUCUCUGGAUAGCCACUCGGCAGCUGGGAUGUAAGAACACUGGAAAAAUAGUUUUGUUUGGAAUGGCAGGACUUUCCAAACAGCCAGCUCCCUGCAAAAAGGACACUAGGUGUUGCUGACUCUGCAGGUGGGGGUGGGGGGUGAGGGCAGAGGGUGGGCAGACACAGAAUCAACAGCACAGAUUCUGGGAGUUAUGUAAGCAAUCUCUCAUUUAUUAAACGAAGGGCUCAGGUAUUUAUGUGUGUGCUGUAUGGCAGGCAGGCUUUGCUUCCAGCUGCCCUGGCGUUGCUUGGUUUGACCCCAGGUCUUACGUCGGCAGUUGUCAUCUUGGGGGUCCGGUUUUAGGAUCCUCUGGGUCAGGAUGCUACUGUGCAUGUCAGAGCUCUUUGUUUGCUUAAGGCGUGGCCCAGUGCUUUCCGCCUUACCCACCUCAACCAGGCACCCAUUUUUCUUGAGCACAUACAAAUAUUUGGAAUCAGGAUUCUGACUCCACAGGGGGGUUAGUAGCAAGGGCUCCAUGUCUCAGAGUCAGAGGAGAUGGAGCUAUGGGUGAGAAGCAUUAAUGCUGAUGGGAGCUUGUAGAAUGGAUGGAGGGAUGGUAUGUGAUUUUCCCUAGGGAUAUGUGAGUACAUAUCUAUUCACCACUAAUAAAGCAACAAAACUAAAAUGAUCCUACCCAGGUCUAGCUUGGUGAACCAGUCAGUUUAUUGGGGUUAUUUAGAGAAGUUACUCAAAGGCAGCUGCCUCACCAGAAAGCCCACCCCAGCGUGGAUACCAAGCUAUGAAAGCUACCUGCUUGACUUGCAGGUACCUCUGACGGAGGGAAGUCUUCAUUCCGUAGGAACUAUACUGCUCUUAAAAUCUUGGGAGAGGGCCCAUGGAUUUUUAUAAUAUGUGAACUUCCCAAGUCUUAUACAUUUCAUGAAUUUCCUGACCCAGGUGAGUCUCAUUACUUUCCUGGGGUUAUGAGCCUCUGCCUCUCCUUCUAGGAGGGAAUUCUUUGAAGGAGGUGAAACAGUUCCUCAAGGAAGAUGGUGAACUUGUUUCUCAUGUCCUCCAGAACAAAUGACCAGAAAGUAAAUGAACUGAAACGGUAGGAAUUUACUAUCGUCCGGUUCUGGAGGUCAGGGGCAUGGGAUGCAUCUUCCUGGGAUGACAUCCAGAUGUGAGCCGUGCUGUGUUCCUUCAGGGGGUUCCGAGGGAGAAGCUUGCUUGCUGUCUUGCUUUUUAGAGGCCACCUGCAUCCUUUGGAUACUAGCACCUCUUCAAAGCCAGCACCUCAGAUUUGUCUUUGAUUUCUGACAUAGCCCUGAUAGUCUCUUCUCCCGUAUGAGGGCUCUGAUAAUGACGAUGGGCUGAACCUGGUCCAUCCAAAUAAUCUCCUCUUCUCAAGGUUAACAGAAAGGCAGCUGGAAUUCUACCCACAACUCCAGUUCUCCCUUGAUGCAUAACAUACGCACAGGCUCUGAGAGAAGGGAAUGUGUAAUUUUUGGUGGGAGGCGUUCUUUUACCACAAGGGAGGCUCCCAAUGGUCAUUGUAGUGUCGGCACCCUUGUUCAAGAUCAAUACUUGAGGAACCUUGACCUCAGACAGUUUAUGUGAAUUCCAACUGUUGGCUCCACGGGAGAAAAAAUUCCCCUGAGCCCUGGGCCGUUGGUCACUGGAGCAGCAAGUAAAAUUCUGUUGGAGGCUUGGGGUCUUUCCCUCCAGUUCCCUUUGCUUUGCCUGGCCCCUUUUUUUCAAUUUUCUUUCUUGAGGGAUGAUGCCCCUCCAUGGACUCAGAAUGGACUUGAUCCAGUCACAAGAGAGGCUCAUUGCUUGAACAAGAGCAUGGACUUUUAGAAUUGUACCUUCUAAGUGCCCACUUGGGGAUGUUGAGCUUUAGUGAUCAAGGACUCCAAAAGUCUGAAAUCUUGGAAGUUCCCCUUAGGAACUCUAUGAAGAAGGCCUAAAGAGUGAGCACCCACACCAACCUUUUCUGCCUUAGUGGCUGCUGUAGAUUUCACCCUAUGGUUACCCUGUCGAAUGAGGCUGGCAUCUAGAAUUCAAGAGGACUUUAGCCAUUGGGUAUUCACAGCGAUGGAGCUGGUGACACUGACAUACAGUUCAACUCUUAAGGCAGAAGGUGGGCAAUAAAAGAAAUUUUCAGUCAAGGUCAAUGCUGGAGGGGAAGACACCAGAGAGACUUAGUGCAUGAUGUUUUCUCUUGGAAAGAGCAAACCAUGAUCUGGGGGAGCAGAUUCCUAGAGGUGAUGUCUGGAUCUCAUUUAGAAAGUUAUCACCCACCCACCCCCAGUUGGCCGAUUCUGUCAGCCGUAGGGUACUAGCAGUUCACCUAACUAGCCUAGCAGUUCACCCUACCCUCUGCGCCUAAAGAUAGAAGCUGGCCAAGGACAGGAUCUAAGGCUUUUUUACUAGAGAAGUACAUUCUUUAGAACUCCGAGAUGAAUCCAGUCUGUGAAGAAAGACAAGGCCCUGUGGAGAGACCUUGGGGGCCACUGAGAAAGGCAGCCCUGAUUCCUGGAGGAGCAUCAGGAAGAGACCACGGUACAUUGUUCAGUUAUGGAAAAGUCACUUUGGCAUAGUACCACAGUUUCCUUUCAUCCCUAGCAACCAACAGGGGGAAAACCCCGUCCUCAAAGAUGAGCAAAAGUGAAGCAAGACACCUGUAUCCAGCUGUAGCUAGAAGGCAGGUCCUGUGAGGAAGCGUCAGUUCCAAGGCACACCAGUAGCUUCCCGGGGGUUCCUGCUUCUCUCUUCCAUAGCUGUUUCCAAGGAGGCUUCCCCAGCUUCUAAGAUGUGCAGGCGGGAUGGUCAAGAAAACUUGGCAAUGAUGGAGACAGAGCAAGAGCGCAGCCAGGAAUGGGAUCAUGCAUGUUGAGGAUGGAUGAUUAUGGAAAGAUGUUAGAAGACAGCACAAAGGGAUGGGACCUUCUGGGGUCACUGACCUGUACCUUGUACUUGUCCCUGGACUCCCCGAUUUCCCAUGGGAUAGGCUCAGCAAAUGCCUGGCUUGUCAGUAUAUUUGUCAAAUUAUUUGUGGUUAUCUCUAGGUCCACAGCCUGUGAAACGUGAUUGGAAAGGACCCACAGUAGGGAGUUCACAGUGUCUUUCCCACUGGUACUCUGUUUUUUUCUCAAGCUGGGAAAGUGACAUUAAAAGAAUAAUAAGGCAUAAUAAGAAAUGAGAACAAAGUGUCCUGAGGCAUAUGUAUGAAAAUGCCACAAUGAAACCCGCUACUUUGUGUUUUAACCCCCAAUUGAAGAAAAAUGUAGUAAUGAAAUAAAUCAAGCUGAAAUGAA
Long non-coding RNA from Peromyscus leucopus (white-footed mouse), 6481 nucleotides. RefSeq lists it as uncharacterized. NCBI's taxonomy places the organism in Eukaryota, Metazoa, Chordata, Mammalia, Rodentia, Cricetidae. The transcript is spliced from 4 exons. The record is from RefSeq and is a predicted model, not a curated record.